Molecule: ribosomal RNA, 469 nt
Filed under: uncultured bacterium
Lineage: Bacteria
Description: partial 16S ribosomal RNA
Rfam family: Bacterial small subunit ribosomal RNA
Source: RNAcentral
GACGAACGCUGGCGGCGUGCUUAACACAUGCGAGUCGAACGGAAAGGCCCUGCUUUUGUGGGGUGCUCGAGUGGCGAACGGGUGAGUAACACGUGAGUAACCUGCCCUUGACUUUGGGAUAACUUCAGGAAACUGGGGCUAAUACCGGAUAGGAGCUCCUGCUGCAUGGUGGGGGUUGGAAAGUUUCGGCGGUUGGGGAUGGACUCGCGGCUUAUCAGCUUGUUGGUGGGGUAGUGGCUUACCAAGGCUUUGACGGGUAGCCGGCCUGAGAGGGUGACCGGGCACAUUGGGACUGAGAUACGGCCCAGACUCCUACGGGAGGCAGGAGUGGGGAAUAAUGCACAAAGGGCGGGAGCCUGAUGCAGCAACGCCGCGGGCGGGAUGACGGCCUUCGGGUUGGAAACCGCUUUCGCCUGUGACGAAGCGUGGGUGACGGUAAUGGGUAAAGAAGCAACGGCUAACUACGGGC